CUGUGCAAAGUUUAGUUAACUUUUUUACUUUCUACUUUAAAGUGGGGUACAGACAGCUUCUCUAGAGAUGGGAGCCUCUCAAAGUCUCGAGUAUAAUCAGGUUGAAAUCAGAGGUACAGCAGACCCAAUACAGAGAGGCCAAAGUACAGGUUGAGUGACUUUUAUGAAUAUAGCACUAGUAUGUGCAAAGUUUACAAAGAUAAAUAUAUUUUACAGCAGAAAAAAACAUCCUGUUUCAUAAAGGAAAUUGUCUAAAACCAAAUUAAACAAUUACCUGGGCCCUUAAAGUAAAAGCAGAAUUUGUUUUACUAGUCUGGAAGACAUCCAUAACCUG
Long non-coding RNA from Etheostoma cragini (Arkansas darter), 334 nucleotides. RefSeq lists it as uncharacterized. The record is from RefSeq and is a predicted model, not a curated record. The transcript has 3 exons. NCBI's taxonomy places the organism in Eukaryota, Metazoa, Chordata, Actinopteri, Perciformes, Percidae.